RNAcentral lists this ribosomal RNA (254 nucleotides) under uncultured bacterium. Its description in RNAcentral is "partial 16S ribosomal RNA". It matches the Rfam family "Bacterial small subunit ribosomal RNA", at positions 524 to 776 of the family's 1533-position model. The record is from RNAcentral.
UACGUAGGGGGCAAGCGUUGUCCGGAUUUAUUGGGCGUAAAGAGCGUGUAGGCGGCCAGGUAGGUCCGUUGUGAAAACUCGAGGCUCAACCUCGAGACGUCGGCGGAAACCCUCUGGCUAGAGUCCGGAAGAGGAGAGUGGAAUUCCUGGUGUAGCGGUGAAAUGCGUAGAUAUCUGGAGGAACACCGGUGGCGAAGGCGACAUCCUGGACCGGUAUUGACGCUGAGUGAGCGAAAGCCAGGGGAGCAAACGGG